UACGUAGGGUGCAAGCGUUGUCCGGAAUUAUUGGGCGUAAAGGGCUCGUAGGCGGUCUGUCGCGUCGGCUGUGAAAACCCGAGGCUCAACCUCGGGCCUGCAGUCGAUACGGGCAAACUAGAGUACUGCAGGGGAGACUGGAAUUCCUGGUGUAGCGGUGAAAUGCGCAGAUAUCAGGAGGAACACCGGUGGCGAAGGCGGGUCUCUGGGCAGUAACUGACGCUGAGGAGCGAAAGCGUGGGGAGCGAACAGG
RNAcentral lists this ribosomal RNA (253 nucleotides) under uncultured bacterium. RNAcentral's name for it is "partial 16S ribosomal RNA". It matches the Rfam family "Bacterial small subunit ribosomal RNA", at positions 524 to 776 of the family's 1533-position model. The record is from RNAcentral.